GCCCCUGUAGCUCAGGGGAUAGAGCACCGGCCUCCGGAGCCGGGCGCGAGGGUUCAAGUCCCUCCAGGGGCG
Non-coding RNA from Chloroflexi bacterium RBG_19FT_COMBO_48_23, 72 nucleotides. Lineage: Bacteria; Bacillati; Chloroflexota. The record is from Rfam.